CCAAAAGGGCGGAAGCGGCUCGGGAGUGCUGAAGGUUGAUCUGGAUCACCCUCAGAUCUAUGACCUUACAGACAUCUAAGGUGGGCAAAGAACCAUGGCCUCCUCCAUAACCUGGGCAUUGGAGAAACCAGUGUUACCCCCGGAAACCCCAUCCCUAUCAGCGAGCCUGACUGGUUCAUGCCCCUUUGCAGGAGCAAUCACCGAAGCUAUCUGUCUUCCAGAUCUGGAAUUAGAAUCUGAAAGCACCUUAAAGGUUCCUAAAUCGACUCCAGAAAAGGCCCUUAAAAUUGGCAUCCUUGAUCACCUUUGCCAAAGCAAGAUCGAACAACAUAAUCAGACACUGACCCUUAGCAUCCCUGCUACGGCCCAAGACUCUCCAG
Molecule: long non-coding RNA, 380 nt
Filed under: Androctonus crassicauda
Lineage: Eukaryota; Metazoa; Arthropoda; Arachnida; Scorpiones; Buthidae
Source: RNAcentral